RNAcentral lists this ribosomal RNA (762 nucleotides) under uncultured Peptostreptococcus sp. RNAcentral's name for it is "bacterial SSU rRNA". It matches the Rfam family "Bacterial small subunit ribosomal RNA", at positions 28 to 776 of the family's 1533-position model. The record is from RNAcentral. Lineage: Bacteria; Bacillati; Bacillota; Clostridia; Peptostreptococcales; Peptostreptococcaceae.
GAUGAACGCUGGCGGCGUGCCUAACACAUGCAAGUCGAGCGAGGGUUUGCUCAGUAUUGAGUAUUCUAAGACUAGAAUGUUCAAUUCUGAGCAAAACCAAGCGGCGGACGGGUGAGUAACGCGUGGGUAACCUGCCCUAUACACAUGGAUAACAUACUGAAAAGUUUACUAAUACAUGAUAAUAUAUAUUUGUGGCAUCGCAGAUAUAUCAAAGUGUUAGCGGUAUAGGAUGGACCCGCGUCUGAUUAGCUAGUUGGUGAGAUAACUGCCCACCAAGGCGACGAUCAGUAGCCGACCUGAGAGGGUGAUCGGCCACAUUGGAACUGAGACACGGUCCAAACUCCUACGGGAGGCAGCAGUGGGGAAUAUUGCACAAUGGGCGAAAGCCUGAUGCAGCAACGCCGCGUGAACGAUGAAGGUCUUCGGAUCGUAAAGUUCUGUUGCAGGGGAAGAUAAUGACGGUACCCUGUGAGGAAGCCCCGGCUAACUACGUGCCAGCAGCCGCGGUAAUACGUAGGGGGCUAGCGUUAUCCGGAUUUACUGGGCGUAAAGGGUGCGUAGGUGGUCCUUCAAGUCGGUGGUUAAAGGCUACGGCUCAACCGUAGUAAGCCGCCGAAACUGGAGAACUUGAGUGCAGGAGAGGAAAGUGGAAUUCCCAGUGUAGCGGUGAAAUGCGUAGAUAUUGGGAGGAACACCAGUAGCGAAGGCGGCUUUCUGGACUGCAACUGACACUGAGGCACGAAAGCGUGGGUAGCGAACAGG